Molecule: ribosomal RNA, 219 nt
Filed under: uncultured bacterium
Lineage: Bacteria
Description: partial 16S ribosomal RNA
Rfam family: Bacterial small subunit ribosomal RNA
Source: RNAcentral
GCAAGUCGAGCGCACCUUCGGGGUGAGCGGCGCACGGGUGAGUAACGCGUGGGAACCUGCCUUUUUCUGCGGGAUAACGGUUGGAAACGGCCGCUAAUACCGCAUACGCCCUACGGGGGAAAGGUCCGCCGGAAAAAGAGGGGCCCGCGUCUGAUUAGCUUGUUGGUAGGGUAAUGGCCUACCAAGGCGACGAUCAGUAGCUGGUCUGAGAGGAUGAUC